CACCUGAGAAUGGAUUUGGUGAAUUGUUUUAUAAAAUGUGACAUUGAUUUGUCCUUGAUUGGUGCUACUUGUGGUUAGGGGUCAGUGGUAUCUCAUCAUGGGAUAAUAUAGGAAAUGUCGGAUUUAAAUAAUUGGGGCUUCGAGUUGUUGACUGCUUUUUAAAGUUUGUGUAGUUGGCAAUGUUGGAAAUAGAUCAUUUCCCUGUUGUGAUAGAGUUUGCUAUAUGAACCUUGAAUUCUUGACAAUAAUUGACAUGAUGUCUACUUUCUGUUAAAGUUAAAUUCUACUUUUGGCUAUACAUAUUGCUGAAUUGGAGUGUUGCAGUUGUAGGAACUUUCAGGAUUUUGUCCCACUUUUGAAGUUGUUUGAGUUUCUAUUUCAAGUUUGUCUUUAACUCAAAAACUCGACUGAAUGGAUAAGUCGUUAGUUUGUCUUCAGCGCUAUUAUUCCCCAUUUUUCAGUUUGGAAAUGGUUAGCAGAGCUUGUUCUAGUGUUUUAACUAUUGUGUUGACAGGAACAUUGUGUUUUCUGUUUGUAAAGUUAUAGAUAUUCCGAAAUUCCUUACAUAACCAAGCCUAAUUCACCUCCCGAGACGAGACAGAGGACGGGUUGAUCUUUUAACAAAGCUGUCCUAAUCACAAUUCUGUAGUUUGGGUUAUGCUUGUCAUAUUGUACAUUCUGGUCACUUGUCCAGUUCAAGAAAGCAGCUCAUCCUUCAUUCUUUCCUUCUUCAGUUUUUGUAGUUAUUCUCUUGUCUAUUGCAAGGAUCUAAGAAAGGCCCUUAUGGCUUGUAGUGACA
Molecule: non-coding RNA, 799 nt
Organism: Salvia hispanica
Lineage: Eukaryota; Viridiplantae; Streptophyta; Magnoliopsida; Lamiales; Lamiaceae
Source: RefSeq, a predicted model, not a curated record